This 341-nucleotide ribosomal RNA is filed under the name Conticribra weissflogii. RNAcentral describes it as "SSU rRNA". It matches the Rfam family "Eukaryotic small subunit ribosomal RNA", at positions 584 to 926 of the family's 1831-position model. Lineage: Eukaryota; Bacillariophyta; Thalassiosirophyceae; Thalassiosirales; Thalassiosiraceae. The record is from RNAcentral.
UCCAGCUCCAAUAGCGUAUAUUAAAGUUGUUGCAGUUAAAAAGCUCGUAGUUGGAUUUCUGGCAGGAGCGACCAGUCUCACACCCUGUGUGAGAACUUGUGUUGUCUCUGGCCAUCCUUGGGGAGAUCCUGUUUGGCAUUCAGUUGUCGGGCAGGGGAUACCCAUCGUUUACUGUGAAAAAAUUAGAGUGUUUAAAGCAGGCUUAUGCCGUUGAAUAUAUUAGCAUGGAAUAAUAAGAUAGGUCUUUGGUACUAUUUUGUUGGUUUGCGCACCAGAGAAAUGAUUAAUAGGGACAGUUGGGGCUAUUCGUAUUCCAUUGUCAGAGGUGAAAUUCUUGGAUU